AGAGUCCUGAACUGUUCGUUGUGUUACCUGAAGUUUUGACCGAACAUAAUUGAUUCGGGAGUCUAGCGUUUUCUGCCAUGCGUAAAUGCCCCACCUAUACGGUAUAGGGACUUACAAUCGCGGAAACAGGACACCCACCUGCUAGUAGCGGGAUCAAAACGAAGGAUCAUUAGCAACGGCACCAUUGGGACUCUU
RNAcentral lists this non-coding RNA (195 nucleotides) under Bacillus sp. ISL-18. Its description in RNAcentral is "6S RNA". It matches the Rfam family "6S / SsrS RNA". Rfam says of the family: E. coli 6S RNA was the first non coding RNA to be sequenced, but its function was unknown until recently. It consists of 184 nucleotides that fold into an extended hairpin structure with a large single-stranded internal bulge. The record is from RNAcentral. Lineage: Bacteria; Bacillati; Bacillota; Bacilli; Caryophanales; Bacillaceae.